GGCCCUGCCUGCAGAAGGGCUGAAAAGUAGGCUUGCUGUGAAAGUGCUUGUAUGUCCCUGAGGGGAGAAGCAAGUCACAGUCAGGGCACUGGUUCCUGUCAUCCGGUGCAACACAAAGCAGGCGCCAGGACAUGGGGUGCAGACGGGAGCACAGAGAGG
RNAcentral lists this long non-coding RNA (159 nucleotides) under Pongo abelii (Sumatran orangutan). RNAcentral describes it as "lincRNA". Lineage: Eukaryota; Metazoa; Chordata; Mammalia; Primates; Hominidae. The record is from RNAcentral.